This 287-nucleotide ribosomal RNA is filed under the name uncultured bacterium. RNAcentral's name for it is "partial 16S ribosomal RNA". It matches the Rfam family "Bacterial small subunit ribosomal RNA", at positions 775 to 1067 of the family's 1533-position model. The record is from RNAcentral.
GGAUUAGAUACCCUGGUAGUCCACGCCGUAAACUAUGAUUACUCGUUUUCGGCGAUAUACAGUCGGAGACUAAGCGAAAGUGAUAAGUAAUCCACCUGGGGAGUACGAUCGCAAGGUUGAAACUCAAAGGAAUUGACGGGGGCCCGCACAAGCGGUGGAGCAUGUGGUUUAAUUCGAUGAUACGCGAGGAACCUUACCAGGGCUUAAAUGCAGAACGACAGAUUUGGAAACAGAUCCUUCUUCGGACGGUCUGCAAGGUGCUGCAUGGCUGUCGUCAGCUCGUGCCG